RNAcentral lists this long non-coding RNA (664 nucleotides) under Elaeis guineensis (African oil palm). RNAcentral describes it as "long non-coding RNA (EGUI_LNC006968)". The record is from RNAcentral. Lineage: Eukaryota; Viridiplantae; Streptophyta; Magnoliopsida; Arecales; Arecaceae.
CCAUCCUCAAACAUUAUUUUUUGCUUUGUAGCCAUGUAGUUAUCAAACAUACUUUUUAUUUUUAUUCAAUAAUAAAAAUUUAAAAAAUAAAAAUAUUUUUUAAAAAUUAAAAAUCAAAAAGUGUAACCAAACGCAUCCUUAGUUUAAAGGAAUAUUUUUCUUGAAUCACCAUCCUCUAACUGUCCUUAAUUUUUUUCUUUCUUUUUGGCCUUUUUAAUUUUUUUGCUCAUUUAUUUUUAGGGCCUCCAUUCUUUUAACAUAGAAUAGCCUUCCCCUUGCCACUUAACGAAUUGGUAAGAGGUGGAGAAUUCCAUUCUGGAAGGAGUCGCCAGCUUAUAUUAUACCCAAAUUCAGAUUUUUGGAGAUGCGUCACUUAAGAAUCAAGCGGGAACCUUUGGUUGCUAAGCAAAAGAAAGUAACCACAUCGAUAAGCCCCAAUUCAUGGUGAAACGUGAAGAUCAGAAGGCUGAAGUUUUCAUCAAAUGAUGCAAAAGAAUUUGUAUACUUGAGUUUUGUUAGGGUUAGUGUGGGUAUAAGGAUGUGUUUAUUCAUUCAAAUGCUUGUGCAUGCUCCCCGUGUUAUAUAUAUAUAUAUAUAUAUAUAUAUAUGAUUGUGCAUGUGCAUAUAUCUGAGGACUCAUAGAGACAUGUAUCAAGUUCCACAU